UGAGGAAUAUUGGUCAAUGGUCGGGAGACUGAACCAGCCAAGUAGCGUGAAGGAUGAAGGUUCUAUGGAUUGUAAACUUCUUUUAUACGGGAAUAACAUCAUCUACGUGUAGAUGCCUGCAUGUACCGUAUGAAUAAGCAUCGGCUAACUCCGUGCCAGCAGCCGCGGUAAUACGGAGGAUGCGAGCGUUAUCCGGAUUUAUUGGGUUUAAAGGGAGCGUAGACGGGAUGUUAAGUCAGUUGUGAAAUGCUGUGGCUCAACCAUAGCACUGCAGUUGAUACUGGCGUUCUUGAGUGCGUAUGAGGUACGUGGAAUUCGUGGUGUAGCGGUGAAAUGCUUAGAUAUCACGAAGAACUCCUAUUGCGAAGGCAGCGUACCAAUCCGUAACUGACGUUGAGGCUCGAAAGUGUGGGUAUCAAACAGG
This 424-nucleotide ribosomal RNA is filed under the name uncultured prokaryote. Its description in RNAcentral is "bacterial SSU rRNA". It matches the Rfam family "Bacterial small subunit ribosomal RNA", at positions 355 to 776 of the family's 1533-position model. The record is from RNAcentral. RNAcentral also lists the same sequence under 1 other name.